AGGUUUUAUUCUUAUAUUUGCCUCUCCCUACGCGAGGGAGACGAACUCUGAAUUAUUUCUUUGGUAACUCCACGUUCGUUGAACCUUUGAAACUUCGCGCGAGUCUGCUCGCCCCGGAAGACACGAGAGAACACGCCCAGCUCUAAAAGCACGACGCACGCAGCUCUUAGCAGGCACAAAGAUACCCACAUCAGGAAAAGGCAGUUUGAGGAUGAGAGAGAGCUCCACAUCUCCCUGAGAGGAUUCAGACAUAGAGGGGACGACACACAUCAAAGAAUCUGGAUGGGGCUGGCUAUGCUUUGACUAAGCCACACCCCUUCUCAACUUCCACCUCGAGGAGGUCCCCAAAGCCAACCCAAUGGCCAAACAACACGAGAACAAGUAUCAACUUGGACACAAAGCACAGUUACUCUGCUUUGGAUGGCUUUCACCUCUGGGCUGGACACAGCGUACCGUGCUAUCUCCGGAGAUCUGAAGCACGCUCACAACAUAUACUGUACUGAACUAGGCUAGGACCAGCAGUCUCCUUGUCCUCCCGCGACGAAGUGCGUGAAGGCGGGGGUUUAUCUGACAGGACACACGGCAAUACACAGCAGCCCACAGCAAUAUACAGCACCACGUCAAAAUUAUAGGUUUUCACAGCAUGAAGACUCACCCACCACACUCAGUGUACGAAAAGGACACCCGUCUUCCUUCACUUCGCUUGGUUCGGAUCUGGCGAUGGAAUAUGCGGCCUAGCUAGUGAUGUCGUCGUUGUGACUACUUCAAUAAGUAUUCCUUCGGCUCUCCCACCACGCUAUAUUAGGGGUAGGGCCGCCCUCCUCCUCCUGGAGAGAUCUACACAACGCCAGGUCAAUAUACAGGGCACUUUCGACUGGCUCUUAGUACUCACAUCAAUGCCGCUUCCAAUCCCCUUUUUCACGUCGUCUCAGUUCGCCGUAUAAUCCGUUCACUUCUCAACCUUUAAGGUUCGCGAUGUCUUCACAAUCAUACAAUUCCAGCCUGAGGGAGAGAGAGAGUUAGACAGCCGCCAGCAGCGCACCAAGACGGGCACAACACAGUGCUUCACACACACCAGAAAGAACGCUCAGACUGUGAAAUAACUUGGCCUUAAGUACUGCCUUGUCCAGCGUAUCCUCCAAUCACCAACCGCUGUCCCUAACUAGGCACAGGUGCAUCGAAUUCCCUGAUUUUCCUUCUUACGGCGCUACCGGAAGUUCCGGUGUUCUGUUUUUCCGGUCCGGGCGGAAACACUUCCGGGCGGAACCAAACUUCCCGAAUUUUGGUUCCGCCCCUAAAGAUCGUCACCUUGUGACAUUUACACUGAAUGACCUCCUAUGGUUUAUGAAAUUCAAUGAAAGUUUCCAAAGUAAUCUUUUGUGUGUGGUGAAUGGCUAUAAAUGAUGAUCCAGGAAAUUUAGCUAUUCGCUUCGGUGCUGUGGCUAACAGACCUCUGAGGGCUAAUAUAGCCUCUACUUUUCCUUUCAACUUAUUAUUUGACUGAAAAAAGAGUGCAGCUAUUAAAGAUUGGCUCAAGAUGCAAAAAAGGCUUCUUUGAGAAUGUAGAAUAAAUUUAAACGUCCUGGUCCUUUAAACCUCAAAUAAUAUAUGCCAUAUUUUAAAGAAAGGCCUAUUCAUGAAAUAUCCUGCCAGUUACUCUCUCACAUUCUCUGGACUAAAAAUGAGAAGUUGUUAACAAGGGGUCUCAAACUUCAGUUUCCUGGGGUUCAGUAGACAGGUGUUGUUCACCACCAGGAGGCAAGGUAUAAGUUAAUAAACAAAACAAACAAAAACAAAGUGUUUUUACAACCAUUGUGACACUGCCAUACUUUGAAGGUUGAGGCUAGAAGGGAUACAGCUAAGGCCAGAAGUGACUUUUUUUUUUUUUCCCGU
Molecule: long non-coding RNA, 1893 nt
Organism: Cyprinus carpio carpio
Lineage: Eukaryota; Metazoa; Chordata; Actinopteri; Cypriniformes; Cyprinidae
Source: Ensembl